This 1674-nucleotide long non-coding RNA is filed under the name Coturnix japonica (Japanese quail). Its description in RNAcentral is "lncRNA (ENSCJPG00005009328.1)". Lineage: Eukaryota; Metazoa; Chordata; Aves; Galliformes; Phasianidae. The record is from RNAcentral.
GGGGUCAUGUAAGGUAAGCAGCUCAGCUUAUCCUUGACUGCUCUUUUCUGCUGUGCAGACUACGCUGGAGACAUUCAACAGAACACUUACCCCAUGUUUUCCUUAUGCCAGAUCUAUCCAUCUGUUGCGCACACUUUCAGCCUUGUCUUAUAUUUUGAUUACAAACUAAUCAGUGCUGGGAUUGUUUCUUUUUAGAGGAUUUAUAGCACCUGCCGUGGCACAGCUCUGAUCCCUAUAAGGAUAAGGGAGUCUCAGACAUAGAACCAUCACCCAAAAAGUAAUAAAAGGCUGAAAAGUUUGGCUCCUGAGAUUUUUUGUGCUUCCUGAUUAGAGCAGGAGUGGUUUCCUUGCGGUGCUUUGAUAGUUUUGCUCCCAGCACAACUCACAACCAGGAAGUACAAGAAUGCAGUGCAAUGACAGCCAGAAUUUGCAGAACAGCUCAGCAUGCACAAUCAGAAGCAGAUUUGCAAAGGAGCUCAGCUCUCAUUUAGGCACCAAAAUCAGUACCUAGAUUUUCUAAAGUGCCAAGCUGGCGGGCUGCAGAACUCUUUAGCAAAUCCAGCCCUCAUGGCAGCUUCUGAGCAUGAGGAUCUGGCUCAGUUCUUCAGGAUGAAAUGGAACCAGAGCUAUGUGAUGAGUCUCUCCUGGACUUGGUGGAUUACACUGCAGCCUGGAAAUCUACAAGACCGGAAGAGUUAAUAUCCCCCUGUUCUUUGCGACAUCAUGGUUUGUGUCCCUGUGCAAUUAUAUUUGCUAUUCUCUCACAUCCAUUUAGACAAUCCAGACCAGGAACAGAAUCAGUAUUUCCAUUUUAUGGGCAGGAGUACAGCGUGUGGAAUCCAGGGCAGAAAGAAAUUUCAGAAGUCACUGUGCUCCCCUGAGGAUAAAUCAUGUAAUUGUGUCUUUCAGCUUCUCCAGACUUUGAUCUUGGGAGAGAUCAAACAGGGUCAGGCCAUGGAUAGCAGAUUUUGAAUGAAAACCCAGACAGGGUUUUGUGACGUGGAGAUGAUGUGGAGAGGUGAGGAGCACAGCAUGCAGUAUUCCCCCUCGGCAGAUAUUACUAAGUACUUGAAAAUACAUACAAAUACUGUUCCAUUGCUGAAAGGUGAAGGGUCCCACUCUUGACUUGGAAAUCAAAUUAAGGUCUGACCAGUCCUCCUCAUGAAAGUCUGCUGGGCAAAACUUGGCACUUAAGGCUUGCUUUCUAAUUUUAGUUUCAGUUCUGACUCAGAACACGAAUUUUGAUAAUUGUCUGCAUCUUCCUCAAAGAAACUGAGCUUUUACUCUCCUGCUUUGUGGAACUGGACUCUUUGAAUGUGCGGUGUAGAGCUGGAGGUUGUAUAAGUUAUGGACAUCACUCACUUUAUGACACUUAAUAACUCAAGGUGAAGCCUAUAUAUAAUAUAACUUUAUAGCACAGUCCCUGAAGAUGUUUCAGAAACAUGUGGAUGUGGUACUUAUAAGGGACGUGGGUUAGUGGGCAAUAUUGGUGGUAGAGGAAUGACUGCACUUAGGUCUUUUCCAACGUUAAUGAUUUUAUGAUUCCAUGAUUCUAAUCUAUUCUUAACAUUCUGUGACAUAGGGAAAAGUCUUUAUCCCAAUUCCCAUUGUAAAAAUUUAAAUACGAAUGCAUAUAUUAUGGGAAACAUUGCCUACUCUAAAGGUUUUCUGACU